GAGGAAUUUUCCGCAAUGGGCGAAAGCCUGACGGAGCAAUACCGCGUGGAGGAUGAAGGUUCAUGGAUUGUAAACUCCUUUUCUUAGACAAGAAAUCAAUGACGGUAUCUAAGGAAUAAGCAUCGGCUAACUCCGUGCCAGCAGCCGCGGUAAGACGGGGGAUGCAAGCGUUAUUCGGAAUUAUUGGGCGUAAAGCGUCUGUAGGUGGCUAAAUAAGUCUGGUGUUAAAUACUGAAGCUCAACUUCAGACCUGCAUCAGAAACUAUUUAGCUUGAGUACGUUAGAGGCAGGGGGAAUUCCCAGUGUAGCGGUGAAAUGCGUAGAUAUUGGGAGGAACACCAACGGCGAAGGCACCCUGCUGGGCCGAUACUGACACUCAAGGACGAAAGCUAGGGGAGCGAAUGGG
Molecule: ribosomal RNA, 406 nt
Filed under: uncultured bacterium
Lineage: Bacteria
Description: bacterial SSU rRNA
Rfam family: Bacterial small subunit ribosomal RNA
Source: RNAcentral